RNAcentral lists this ribosomal RNA (257 nucleotides) under uncultured bacterium. Its description in RNAcentral is "partial 16S ribosomal RNA". It matches the Rfam family "Bacterial small subunit ribosomal RNA", at positions 524 to 776 of the family's 1533-position model. The record is from RNAcentral.
UACGUAGGGUGCAAGCGUUGUCCGGAAUCAUUGGGCGUAAAGCGCGUGUAGGCGGUCCGGUAAGUCCGCUGUGAAAGUCGGGGGCUCAACCCUCGGAUGCCGGUGGAGUACUGUCGGGCUUGAGGUACGGAAGAGGCGAGUGGAAUUCCUGGUGUAGCGGUGAAAUGCGCAGAUAUCAGGAGGAACAUCGAUGGCGAAGGCAGCCCCUUGGACCUGUACGUGACGCUCAUGCACGAAAGCGUGGGGAGCGAAACAGG